Molecule: ribosomal RNA, 428 nt
Filed under: uncultured bacterium
Lineage: Bacteria
Description: partial 16S ribosomal RNA
Rfam family: Bacterial small subunit ribosomal RNA
Source: RNAcentral
GUGGGGAAUAUUGGGCAAUGGGCGCAAGCCUGACCCAGCAACGCCGCGUGAAGGAAGAAGGCUUUCGGGUUGUAAACUUCUUUUACCAGGGACGAAACAAAUGACGGUACCUGGUGAAUAAGCCACGGCUAACUACGUGCCAGCAGCCGCGGUAAUACGUAGGUGGCGAGCGUUAUCCGGAUUUAUUGGGUGUAAAGGGCGUGUAGGCGGGACAGCAAGUCAGAUGUGAAAACCAGAGGCUCAACCUCUGGCCUGCAUUUGAAACUGUUGUUCUUGAGUGGCGGAGAAGUAAUCGGAAUUCCGUGUGUAGCGGUGAAAUGCGUAGAUAUACGGAGGAACACCAGUGGCGAAGGCGGAUUACUGGACGAUAACUGACGCUGAGGCGCGAAAGCGUGGGGAGCAAACAGGAUUAGAAACCCCAGUAGUCC